GGGGACGCGCGGGUUCGACAGGAGGAGUAUGCUACAGGAUUGCAAGCUGAGGUGCCGCUACCCUCAUAAAACAAGUGGCAAACAAACAAACGGCGAACCUGAAUUCGCUCUUGCAGCCUAAUUAAGCGGCUGCACAUCCAACCCAACCUCACCUCAACGGGUUGGGAUUGGGUGUAGAGAAGUUGAGGUGCCAUCACCCUGAUGUCGAUAAGGGUGGUGAAAGAAAUAUCGACUGGUCUAGCUAGACUCGGUCAGCAGAGGUUAGCUAGGUAAGAAAAAGAGCUGACUAAGCUUGUAGGACAUUCUGGGUAGCUUCUCUUGGACGGGGAGUUCAACUCUCCCCCGUCUCCACCA
This 354-nucleotide transfer-messenger RNA is filed under the name Dehalococcoidia bacterium. It matches the Rfam family "transfer-messenger RNA". From Rfam's summary of the family: Bacterial tmRNA, also known as 10Sa RNA or SsrA, is named for its dual tRNA and mRNA-like properties. Lineage: Bacteria; Bacillati; Chloroflexota; Dehalococcoidia. The record is from RNAcentral.